This 4169-nucleotide long non-coding RNA is filed under the name Marmota monax (woodchuck). The record is from RNAcentral. Lineage: Eukaryota; Metazoa; Chordata; Mammalia; Rodentia; Sciuridae.
CAUUCAUACAAUGGAAUAUUAUUUACCCAUAAAAAGGAAUGGAGUACUGAUACAUGCUACAACAUAGAUGAAUCUUGAAAACGUGAUGCUAAGUGAAAGAACCCGGACACAAAAGGCCACAGUAUUGCAUGAUUCCAUUCAUAUGAAAUGUCCAAAAUCGUCAAAUCCGUACAAAGUACAUUAGUGGUUUCCAGGGGUUGGAGGAAGGGGAGAAUUAAGAGUGACUGCUAACAAACAUGGGGCUUCUUUUGGAGGUGAGAGAAAUGUUUUGAAAUUAGACAGUGGUGAUGAUUGCACAAUAUAAUGAAUAUACUAAAAACCAUUGAAUUGUACACUUUAAAAUGGUGAAUAUCUCAAUUUCUUAAAUUGAAAAAAAGGUAAUGUUCCAAUAAAGAACAUUAUGGUGUCCAUAUGACCAUAAUUAGUAGAAUAAGAAAUGGGUUCUCAAUCAUGAAGACAUCACAUUAGGAGAAUUACUAGGCAAGGGAAAUUGUAAUGACAUACUUAAGGGGACAUUAAAGGAUAAAAUUCAUGUUGAUAUUAAAACAUGUAAAGAAGAUCUUUUCCAGGAACUGAAAUUAAAAUUUUUACAAGAAGCCAAAAUCCUCAAGUGACAUAAUCAUCCCAACGUUGUCAAACUUAUAGGAGUUCGCACACAAAGACAGCCUAUCUACAUCUUUAAGGAACUGGUUCCAGGACGUGGUUUCCUCUCCUUUCUGAGAAAGAAGGAUGAACUAAAACUCAGUUAGUUAGUGAAAUUUUCAUUAGAUGCUGCUUCUGGAUGGCGUAUCUCGAGUAAAAAUUGUAUGCACAGGGACCUUGCUGCAAGAAACUGCCUGGAGGUGAAAAUAAUGUUCUGAAAAUCAGUGACUUUGGAAUGUCUCAUCAAGAGGAUAUUGGUGUAUAUUCAUCUUCUGACUUAAAGCAGAUUCCCAUUAAAUGGACAGCACCAGAAGCUCUUAAUUAUGGGAGAGAUCGUUCUUAGAGUGACGCAUGGAGCUUUGGCAUCCUCCUCUGGGAGACCUUCAGCUUAGGGGUCUGUCCAUUCCCUGGAAUGACAAAUCAGCAAGCACAAGAGCAAGUGGAAAGAGGAUACUGGAUGUCAAUCUCUCAUCAGUGUCCAGAGAAUAUUACAAAAUAAUGCUGAAGUGCUGUGAUUACAAACUUGAAAAUUGCCCCCAAGUUCAAUGAACUUCAGAAAGAGCUAUCAUCAAGAAAAAAGUCACAUAGAGAUGAAACAGUGCCAAAUUCAGUCUUUGGGACCCUAUCUUCAUCAGAGUUAAUAGUUUUCUUCUCAUUAACAUUGAAUUUAUAUCACAUUACCUGCAAUAUUCUUUAAAGUUUAUUUUUUAAACUAACUUCUUUAAAAAAAUGUGCCAUUUUAACCACUGUAAAUAAGAAAGCAUGGGUUCUAAAUGUAAAGGGUCACAGAGAUUUGUCUUUUUCAUACCUAGGAUUGUUGAUGUUUCUCAAAAACAUUGUCUCCUUCAGGCUCAUUUCAGUCUGCUUUCCUUCACCACAGACAUCGACACUAUAUUGACUACGAACCGUACUGGUAAUACCACGUUUGUAGGACACAUUCAAAUAAAAGGUGGCCUUCUACCCCACUGAAGCAGGAAUACAUUUGUAAGCAUCAUUUUACAUUGGUAAUUAUCUGGACUUCCUAGGUUUUCCUUUUUGCCUGAAAUAGGUUCUGUAUUAGGAAGGUUAUCAUUUUCCUAUGUUCCACCAUGACCUCCAUUAGGAAAUCAGAACACUAUGCAUGAAAAGCCCCUUAAAGAGCACUCUCUCAAAGAGUUGAGGCAGUUGACUCUAAAUGAUGUUCUAAACAGUUGUGACAGAAAGAGGCAAGUUUGGAAAGGUAAGGUGGUUUGGAGAAAAGGGUAGGUGAUCAAAGUGGAGAAGGGAAACACAAUUUUAUCAGAGGGAUGCCUUUAUAAAUACAUGCUUAUUAAGUUUAUGGUCAACUACAUCAAAAAGGUCCUAAGAAAUGUCUCAGUAGUUCAUAGAUUCCUCCCUAAAUAGCCGUUUUGAUGGCAACAAAAACAUUUUAAGAGGAACUAUAAAAUACAAAUCCACCAAAAUAAUACCUUAUUCAUGGUUAAGUGUCUUUACCUCAAAGAAGGCAUCCCAGAAUUGUAUUCCCUGCAUUUGUAUUAGUGUCUGAAGCUGUCAGGAUUUCAUAAUCUGUGUGUGUGUGUGUGUCUCCCCAUCCCCCACACACACACACCAAGUAAAAAUACAUAUACAAAUAAAGUCAAUGUUUAAAAUGCCAAGUGAACAUUUAUAAGGAAGAAAGAAAUUAUAAGGAGAAAGACUUAUAAGGAGAAAGACUUAGGGACAGCCAUACUGAUUCCACUUUAUACCUUCAUUUGCCCUUAUACUGCAACCUAAGAACUCUCAUAGCAAACAAUUACUGAGAUGUUCCAUGUAAACAAAAUGUAACAGAGUUAAAACAGGCUCUGUUGAGAUGAAUCUUGACUGGAUCCAGGGAUGCCUCUCAGAAUAAAUGUGUGCAGAGGACACUAACACUCGGGCAAAGGUGGCACAGGAUCCAUUUAUAAGGGCUCAUACCCAUAUCCAGAUGUUUAAAAAAAAAACAGCACCUUAGUGAAUAUUUGUCUACCUUAAGAAGAGGAGUAAGGAACAGAAAGUUCCUCCUGCCCUCAGUUGUGUACUGUCUAUGAAUACCAGUACACAGAGCCCAUAUCCAGUACUUUUUAAAAGUAUAAAGGAUAAUGCAGACAAAACUGUUUCAUGUCUAUCAUUUCAAUCUCCCAACAAUAAUUUCAAGCAUACUUAAUGAUUACUACAAAAUGAAAUAAAAGCAUAAUAAAUCUGCCCUCAAAAUAUGUUGCAACAUAUAAAACAACUUCUUUUUAAUUAGUAUGGUUUCCCCUUCUAAUAAAUAGUGUAAGUAAACUGAACCUACUUUUGAUGGCCAAAAAAUACUAAAGUGUUGCUCGUUAUCAAUGUUCACACUAAUCCCAGAGAAAACACUACCUCUGCACACAGCUUUCCAUGUAAAGUGAACAGAGUAUCUAAAACAUCCCAGGUAAUAAAGAAAACUACUUGGUUGUUUGAUGAGAAGGAAAAGAUACAUAGCCUCUAACAAAAUCACAAUCUAUGGAGGUAUAUAUGCAUAGGAACCAGUGACUAGGACAAGCUCACAUGUAAGCAAUGGCUAUCCUAACAUACUCCCUACCCCAGUCCACAUUAUCACCAUCUAGGAAUAGGCCUUAGAAUGGCAAUACAAUCUUAAAAUAAGAAAUCUGUGAGAGCUUAGGAAGUAAAUUUCCAAGUAUGGACUUAAAGGGGGGGGGGGAUUAUAAAAAUCACCUGUCUAUAGGGGCUAUAUAAUGAAAACAAAUGAAGUGAGGUGAGUGCGGACUGACUGAGGUGAACGGUUUUAACUGUGGGCAUUGGGGGUGUGCAGGGUAGAAGGUCCUAGCUCUAUGUGGGUUGUACCUAGGGAGAUCUGAUUGUUGCCAUGCAGAAAUCAGGACACAAUGUUAUCAGAUGUUCUAAUUCUUCAAGAAAAACUGAAAUCUGGAUUUGUCAAAUCUUCUGAUUGCUAAAUUAAACUAAUGUUUUUUAAAAAAAUUAAUUUUGUGUGAGGCUAAAGAGGUAAACAGCCACAAUUUGACUAGGGGCUGAGAAUUUGCCAAUCUUGGGUUCAGAAGAUAAGAGUUUGUUUACACAUAUGACAAUGGAGAUGAGAAUUUAACCAACCAAAUACACUUGGCCUUGUUGGAAUGGAAUGUUACAGAAAUAUAAUAAACUAAACAUACAGUUGCAUAGGAUAUGAGAUGAGGAUUACAAAUAUAAAUUAAAAUUGAGAAGACAAAAAUGGCUUUGCAGGACAAUCUUAAUAGGCAGGAAUUUAUUAAUUUAUCUUAUUUGUUUAUUUAUUCAUUUGGGUGCUGGGUGACUGAAUCCCAGCACCCACUUGGGCAUUUUAUCACUGAGCUACCUCCCCAGGCCCUUUAUUUUUGAGACAGGAUGUAGCUAAGUUACUUAGGGUCUUGCUAAAUUGCUAAGGUUGGCCUCAAACUUGUGAUCAUCAAUAGGCAAGAAUUUUUAAAGAGUAAGGUAGAACAAAAGGUUAAAUGCAAAGCUGCUAAUGUUCAAGAGACUCAAUCAAGGAAGGAAAGGAUACAUAGCCUCCA